Molecule: non-coding RNA, 223 nt
Filed under: Thermosediminibacter oceani
Lineage: Bacteria; Bacillati; Bacillota; Clostridia; Thermosediminibacterales; Thermosediminibacteraceae
Description: T-box sequence
Rfam family: T-box leader
About the family: Uncharged tRNA acts as the effector for transcription antitermination of genes in the T-box leader family. T-boxes are found upstream of many aminoacyl-tRNA synthetase genes and some amino acid biosynthetic genes usually in Gram-positive bacteria.
Source: RNAcentral
AGAAAGGCUAUGAAGGAGAGAGUAGGCAGGGGAACCUUUCAGGGAGAAAGAGCCGUAGACUGGAAGCUCUUUUAAGGUGAAGCUGCCCAAGUUCACUCUGGAGCCGGGAGGUUGAAUCUAAGUAAUCCUCUCCGGUUUUCCCCGUUAAAGGAAGAAGAGGGUUUAUUGCGGAUAUAAACUGAAAAAGGGUGGUACCACGGGAGCGUGAGCUUUCGUCCCUGAG